This 293-nucleotide ribosomal RNA is filed under the name uncultured bacterium. RNAcentral's name for it is "partial 16S ribosomal RNA". RNAcentral also lists the same sequence under 2 other names. The record is from RNAcentral.
GGACUACAAGGGUUUCUAAUCCCGUUCGCUCCCCUGGCUUUCGCGUCUCAGCGUCAGAAAACGUCCAGGACCUCGCUUUCGCCACGGGCGUUCCUUCCGAUCUCAACGCAUUUCACCGCUCCACCGGAAGUUCCAGGUCCCCCUACGUCCCUCCAGGAAGGUCGUAUCCGCGCCCGUUCCCCGGUUGAGCCGGGGGCUUUCAACGUCGGACGUGCCCUCCCGCCUACACGCGCUUUAAGCCCAGUGAUUCCGAAUAACGUUCGCACGGUUCGUCUUACCGCGGCGGCUGGCAC